UAGCGUUGUUCGGAAUCACUGGGCGUAAAGCGCACGUAGGCGGAUGUGUCAGUCAGGGGUGAAAUCCCGGGGCUCAACCUCGGAACUGCCUUUGAUACAGCACGUCUCGAGUCCGGAAGAGGCAGGUGGAAUUCCGGGUGUAGCGGUGGAAUGCGUAGAGAUCCGGAAGAACACCGGUGGCGAAGGCGGCCUGCUGGGCAGUAGCUGACACUGAGGCGCGACAGCGUGGGGAGCAAACAGG
This 241-nucleotide ribosomal RNA is filed under the name uncultured bacterium. RNAcentral describes it as "partial 16S ribosomal RNA". It matches the Rfam family "Bacterial small subunit ribosomal RNA", at positions 536 to 776 of the family's 1533-position model. The record is from RNAcentral.